Molecule: ribosomal RNA, 497 nt
Filed under: uncultured bacterium
Lineage: Bacteria
Description: partial 16S ribosomal RNA
Rfam family: Bacterial small subunit ribosomal RNA
Source: RNAcentral
GAUGAACGCUGGCGACGUGCCUAAUACAUGCAAGUCGAGCGAACGGACGAGAAGCUUGCUUCUCUGAUGUUAGCGGCGGACGGGUGAGUAACACGUGGAUAACCUACCUAUAAGACUGGGAUAACUUCGGGAAACCGGAGCUAAUACCGGAUAAUAUUUUGAACCGCAUGGUUCAAAAGUGAAAGACGGUCUUGCUGUCACUUAUAGAUGGAUCCGCGCUGCAUUAGCUAGUUGGUAAGGUAACGGCUUACCAAGGCAACGAUGCAUAGCCGACCUGAGAGGGUGAUCGGCCACACUGGAACUGAGACACGGUCCAGACUCCUACGGGAGGCAGCAGUAGGGAAUCUUCCGCAAAGGGCGAAAGCCUGACGGAGCAACGCCGCGUGAGUGAUGAAGGUCUUCGGAUCGUAAAACUCUGUUAUUAGGGAAGAACAUAUGUGUAAGUAACUGUGCACAUCUUGACGGUACCUAAUCAGAAAGCCACGGCUAACUACGUG